Entelurus aequoreus (snake pipefish) is the source of this 303-nucleotide long non-coding RNA. RefSeq lists it as uncharacterized. The record is from RefSeq and is a predicted model, not a curated record. Lineage: Eukaryota; Metazoa; Chordata; Actinopteri; Syngnathiformes; Syngnathidae. The transcript is spliced from 3 exons.
GACCCAAGUGGACAGAGACACGGACAAAGGCAUGUGGACCAGCGAAGACCCUGAUUGACUCGCAGAUCUUGGGACAAUCUGGACCCCUGAGCUCGGUGUGAGGGCUUGGGACCAGGGGAUGUAAGCCACUCCUGGUUCUGGGAGAUCCAGGUGAGGAAGGGAGCAUGCAGCAGCUCUUUGACUGGAUCUUUGACUCGCACACCCUGGAAAAUGAAACCUAGGCAUUUGGACAAGAGCAGCCUAAGUCAGCUGGGAUAGGAUUCAGUGUCCCCCUGGGUGACCCCGCCUCCUGAGGAACAUGGC